AAACCGUUCAGGGGUAAACCUAAGAAACCCAAAAGAUCGAACGGGGAGAUUCAUCGUCAGCGGCGUUGGCUUCGCGUCGGUGGGCGAUGUCCCGCGGGUUCGCUCGCGGGCACGCCGCCGUGCGCGCACGUCCGACGUCGUCGUCGUGCACUUCUCCCCAAGUAGGACGUCGCGACUCGCUGGGUGUCGGUCUACGGCCCGAGUGCGGUGUCUGUCGCGUCGCCGGUAAAACGGCACGCGGCAAACCCUCGGUCGCCCGGCCGGCUGCCCGGCGGUACUCGCAAGGUAUCAGGCCGCGAAAAACUCUGUCUUUCGCGUCAGGCCCGUCGCAAGCGCGCGCCACGGUACCCGGAGGUACGGACCUAGCGCCGUCCCCGGUCCUGGUCCGCUGUUGGCCGACGGUGAUCCUUUGACAGGCCUUAAACGGGGGCGGGCGGUGCCUCGCGCGCCGCUCCCCUCGAUACCGGUCGGCGACGCUACUGCUUUGGGUACUCUUAGGA
Molecule: ribosomal RNA, 500 nt
Filed under: Stigmatomma pallipes
Lineage: Eukaryota; Metazoa; Arthropoda; Insecta; Hymenoptera; Formicidae
Description: eukaryotic LSU rRNA
Source: RNAcentral